UACGCCUACGGGAGGCAGCAGUGGGGAAUAUUGCACAAUGGGGGAAACCCUGAUGCAGCGACGCCGCGUGAGCGAUGAAGUAUUUCGGUAUGUAAAGCUCUAUCAGCAGGGAAGAGAAUGACGGUACCUGACUAAGAAGCCCCGGCUAACUACGUGCCAGCAGCCGCGGUAAUACGUAGGGGGCAAGCGUUAUCCGGAUUUACUGGGUGUAAAGGGAGCGUAGACGGUCCUGCAAGCCAGAUGUGAAAGCCCGGGGCUCAACCCCGGGACUGCGUUUGGAACUGUAAGGCUA
Molecule: ribosomal RNA, 292 nt
Filed under: uncultured bacterium
Lineage: Bacteria
Description: partial 16S ribosomal RNA
Rfam family: Bacterial small subunit ribosomal RNA
Source: RNAcentral